Long non-coding RNA from Xiphophorus hellerii (green swordtail), 80 nucleotides. RefSeq lists it as uncharacterized. The transcript is spliced from 3 exons. The record is from RefSeq and is a predicted model, not a curated record. Lineage: Eukaryota; Metazoa; Chordata; Actinopteri; Cyprinodontiformes; Poeciliidae.
GAGAAACACAAUUAAAACCACACCUGAACAAGUUUGUUCACGUGAGAAGUCAUUACAAAACAUGCUGCGCCAUCAUCCUC